RNAcentral lists this ribosomal RNA (304 nucleotides) under uncultured bacterium. Its description in RNAcentral is "partial 16S ribosomal RNA". It matches the Rfam family "Bacterial small subunit ribosomal RNA", at positions 506 to 809 of the family's 1533-position model. The record is from RNAcentral.
CAGCAGUAGCCGCGGGAAUACAGAGGAUGCGAGCGUUAAUCGGAAUUACUGGGCGUAAAGCGUGCGCAGGCGGUUGUGUAAGACGGGUGUGAAAUCCCCGGGCUUAACCUGGGAACUGCGCUUGUGACUGCACAGCUAGAGUAUGGCAGAGGGGGGUGGAAUUCCAUGUGUAGCAGUGAAAUGCGUAGAGAUGUGGAGGAACACCGAUGGCGAAGGCAGCCCCCUGGGCCAAUACUGACGCUCAUGCACGAAAGCGUGGGGAGCAAACAGGAUUAGAUACCCCGGUAGUCCCUGUCUCUUAUAA